RNAcentral lists this ribosomal RNA (1240 nucleotides) under Modestobacter sp. BMG5726. RNAcentral describes it as "bacterial SSU rRNA". It matches the Rfam family "Bacterial small subunit ribosomal RNA", at positions 102 to 1356 of the family's 1533-position model. Lineage: Bacteria; Bacillati; Actinomycetota; Actinomycetes; Geodermatophilales; Geodermatophilaceae. The record is from RNAcentral.
ACGGGUGAGUAACAGGUGGGCAACCUGCCCUCAUGUCUGGGAUAACUCCAAGAAAUUGGUGCUAAUAACCGAUGUGACCGCUGACCGCAUGGUCUGGUGGUGGAAAGAUUCAUCGGCUGAGGAUGGGCCCGCGGCCUAUCAGCUUGGUGGUGGGGUAAUGGCCCACCAAGGCGACGACCGGUAGCCGGCCUGAGAGGGUGACCGGCCACACUGGGACUGAGACACGGCCCAGACCUCUACCGGAGGCAGCAGUGGGGAAUAUUGGGCAAUGGGCGAAAGCCUGACGCAGCGACGCCGCGUGAGGGAUGACGGCCUUCGGGUUGUAAACCUCUUUCAGUAGGGACGAAACGAAAGUGACGGUACCUACCGAAGAAGCACCGGCCAACUACCUGCCAGCAGCCGCGGUAAUACGUAGGGUGCAAGCGGUGUCCGGAAUUAUUGGGCGUAAAGAGCUCGUAGGCGGUCUGUCGCGUCGACUGUGAAAACCCGGAGCUCAACCUCGGGCCUGCAGUCGAUACGGGCCAACUAGAGUACUGCAGGGGAGACUGGAAUUCCUGGUGUAGCGGUGAAAUGCGCAGAUAUCAGGAGGAACACCGGUGGCGAACGCAGGUCUCUGCGGCAACUGACGCUGACGAGCGAAAGCGUGGGGAGCGAACAGGAUUAGAUACCCUGGUAGUCCACGCCGUAAACGUUGGGCCCUAGGUGUGGGGGCCAUUCCACGGUCUCCGUGCCCCAGCUAACCCAUUAAGCGCCCCGCCUGGGGAGUACGGCCGCAAGGCUAAAACUCAAAGGAAUUGACGGGGGCCCGCACAAGCGGCGGAGCAUGUUGCUUAAUUCGAUGCAACGCGAAGAACCUUACCUAGGCUUGACAUGCACGGAAAUCCCGCAGAGAUGCGGGGUCCUUUAAAGGGUCGUGCACAGGUGGUGCAUGGUUGUCGUCAGCUCGUGUCGUGAGAUGUUGGGUUAAGUCCCGCAACGAGCGCAACCCUCGUUCUAUGUUGCCAGCACGUCAUGGUGGGGACUCAUAGGAGACUGCCGGGGUCAACUCGGAGGAAGGUGGGGAUGACGUCAAAUCAUCAUGCCCCUUAUGUCUAGGGCUGCAAACAUGCUACAAUGGCCGGUACAAAGGGCUGCGAUACCGCGAGGUGGAGCGAAACCCAAAAAGCCGGUCUCAGUUCGGAUUGGGGUCUGCAACUCGACCCCAUGAAGCUGGAGUCGCUUGUAAUCGCAGAUCACCAAC